This 184-nucleotide non-coding RNA is filed under the name Desulfovibrio sp. RNAcentral's name for it is "6S RNA". It matches the Rfam family "6S / SsrS RNA". Rfam says of the family: E. coli 6S RNA was the first non coding RNA to be sequenced, but its function was unknown until recently. It consists of 184 nucleotides that fold into an extended hairpin structure with a large single-stranded internal bulge. The record is from RNAcentral. Lineage: Bacteria; Pseudomonadati; Thermodesulfobacteriota; Desulfovibrionia; Desulfovibrionales; Desulfovibrionaceae.
AUUACCCUGGGUCGCAAGUGAUCUUUGUCUCGGUGCUAACCUGACAAGUUUUCUUUCCUUAGGAGAACGUCACUGUCUUUUGUGUGCAUGCCUGUUUUUCAGGAAGCCUGAGAGAGGCAUAUGGGCUCCGACCUGGUUAUCCAGGUUCUGAACCGCAGACAGACACGGCGUACCCGGGGUUUUC